UUUCAUGAGAGUUUGAUCCUGGCUCAGGACGAACGCUGGCGGCGUGCCUAAUACAUGCAAGUCGAACGAACCGCGACUAGGUGCUUGCACUUGGUCAAGGUGAGUGGCGAACGGGUGAGUAACACGUGGGUAACCUACCUCAUAGUGGGGGAUAACAGUCGGAAACGACUGCUAAUACCGCAUAGGACAUGGAAUCACAUGAUUCAGUGAGGAAAGGUGGCGCAAGCUAUCGCUAAGAGAUGGACCCGCGGUGCAUUAGCUAGUUGGUAGGGUAAGGGCCUACCAAGGCGAUGAUGCAUAGCCGACCUGAGAGGGUGAUCGGCCACAUUGGGACUGAGACACGGCCCAAACUCCUACGGGAGGCAGCAGUAGGGAAUCUUCCGCAAUGGACGCAAGUCUGACGGAGCAACGCCGCGUGAGUGAAGAAGGUCUUCGGAUCGUAAAGCUCUGUUGUUAGAGAAGAACAGCGCAUAGAGUAACUGUUAUGCGUGUGACGGUAUCUAACCAGAAAGCCACGGCUAACUACGUGCCAGCAGCCGCGGUAAUACGUAGGUGGCGAGCGUUGUCCGGAUUUAUUGGGCGUAAAGGGAGUGUAGGCGGUCUUUUAAGUCUGAUGUGAAAGCCCACGGCUCAACCGUGGAGGGUCAUUGGAAACUGGGAGACUUGAGUGCAGAAGAGGAGAGCGGAAUUCCAUGUGUAGCGGUGAAAUGCGUAGAUAUAUGGAGGAACACCAGUGGCGAAAGCGGCUCUCUGGCUUGUAACUGACGCUGAGGCUCGAAAGCGUGGGGAGCAAACAGGAUUAGAUACCCUGGUAGUCCACGCUGUAAACGAUGAGUGCUAAGUGUUGGACCUUUCCGGGGUUCAGUGCCGCAGCUAACGCAAUAAGCACUCCGCCUGGGGAGUACGGCCGCAAGGCUGAAACUCAAAGGAAUUGACGGGGGCCCGCAC
RNAcentral lists this ribosomal RNA (948 nucleotides) under Streptococcus pneumoniae. RNAcentral's name for it is "bacterial SSU rRNA". It matches the Rfam family "Bacterial small subunit ribosomal RNA", at positions 1 to 926 of the family's 1533-position model. The record is from RNAcentral. Lineage: Bacteria; Bacillati; Bacillota; Bacilli; Lactobacillales; Streptococcaceae.